UCUGGCUGUCUUCGAUAGUCCGAGUUGUAAUCUAUAGACGUUGUUCUUCCGUGCUGGACCGUAUCUAAGUCCCUUGGAACAGGGUAUCAAAGAGGGUGACAAUCCCGUGCUUGAUACGACCACCAGUGCUCUGUGAUACACGCUCUACGAGUCGAGUUGUUUGGGAAUGCAGCUCAAAAUGGGUGGUAAAUUCCAUCUAAAGCUAAAUAUUGGCGAGAGACCGAUAGCGAACAAGUACCGUGAGGGAAAGAUGAAAAGCACUUUGGAAAGAGAGUUAAACAGUACGUGAAAUUGUUGAAAGGGAAACGAUUGAAGUCAGUCGUGUUCUUUGGAUUCAGCUAGUUCUUCUAGUCUACUUCCAUUGAACGGGUCAACAUCAGUUUUGUCCGGU
Molecule: ribosomal RNA, 391 nt
Filed under: Vanrija musci
Lineage: Eukaryota; Fungi; Basidiomycota; Tremellomycetes; Trichosporonales; Trichosporonaceae
Description: eukaryotic LSU rRNA
Rfam family: Eukaryotic large subunit ribosomal RNA
Source: RNAcentral